AGUUAAUGAGCUUGAUUAUAAGCGUAUGUUUUGAAAACAUAAGAUAAAGAUUUAAUUCUUUAUUAACUU
Molecule: transfer RNA, 69 nt
Filed under: Thaumalea sp. ZK-2019
Lineage: Eukaryota; Metazoa; Arthropoda; Insecta; Diptera; Thaumaleidae
Description: tRNA-Ser
Rfam family: tRNA
About the family: Transfer RNA (tRNA) molecules are approximately 80 nucleotides in length. Their secondary structure includes four short double-helical elements and three loops (D, anti-codon, and T loops).
Source: RNAcentral